AUAUUUGGGGUGUUCAGGCUUCCUAAAAGUAAUACCCCGGUAUUAGGUUUUGGGGCUAUGGUAAGGUUUAAGGUUUUUGGCGUUGGGGUUAAAAUCACUGUCCAAAACCUUUGUAGGAACUCUUUUCCAACCUUUUGGAGUUACUUAGACCAAAAAAAAAUGAAAAAGGAAAAAAAUAUUUGGGGUUUUCGGGCUUCCUGAAGGUAAUACCCGGGUAUUAGGUUUUGGGGCUAGGGUAAGGUUUAAGGUUUUUGGCGUUAGGGUUAAAAUCACUGUCCAAAACCUUUGUAGGAACUCUUUUCGAACCUUUUGGAGUUGGUUACACCAACAAAAAUGUAAAAUGAAAAAAAAAAUAUUUGGGGUGUUCGGGCUUCCUGAAGGUAAUACCCGGGUAUUAGGUUAAGGGGCUAUGGUAAGGUUUAAGGUUUUUGGCAUUAGGGUUAAAAUCACUGUCCAAAACCUUUGUAGGAACUCUUUUCCAACCUUUUGGAGUUAGUUAGACCAAAAAAAAAAUGAAAAAUGAAAAAAAAAUAUUUGGGGUUUCCGGGCUUCCUUAAUGUAAUACCCGGGUAUUAGAUUUUAAGGCCAGGGUAAGGUUUAAGUUUUUUGGCAUUAGGGUUAAAAUCACUGUCCAAAACCUUUGUAGGAACUCUUUCCAACCUUUUGGAGUUAGUUAGACCAAAAAAAGAAUGAAAAAUGAAAAAAAAAUAUUUUGGGUGUUCGGGCUUCCUAAAAGUAAUACCCGGGUAUUAGAUUUUAAGGCAAGGGUAAGGUUUAAGUUUUAUGGCGUUAGGGUUAAAAUCACUGUCCAAAACAUUUGUAGGAACUCUUUUCCAACCUUUUGGAGUUACUUAGACCAAAAAAAAAAAAUGAAAAAUGAAAAAAAAAUAUUUGGGGUGUUCAGGCUUCCUAAAAGUAAUACCCGGGUAUUAGGUUAUGGGGCUAUGGUAAGGUUUAAAGUUUUUGGCAUUAGGUUUAAAAUCACUGUCCAAAACCUUUGUAGGAACUCUUUCCCAACCUUUUGGAGUUAGUUAGACCAAAAAAAAAAAUGAAAAAUGAAAAAAAAAUAUUUGGGGUGUUCAGGCUUCCUAAAAGUAAUACCCCGGUAUUAGGUUUUGGGGCUAUGGUAAGGUUUAAGGUUUUUGGCGUUAGGGUUAAAAUCACUGUCCAAAACCUUUGUAGGAACUCUUUUCCAACCUUUUGGAGUUACUUAGACCAAAAAAAAAAAAAAGAAAAAUGAAAAAAAAAUAUUUGGGGUGUUCAGGCUUCCUAAAAGUAAUACCUGGGUAUUAGGUUAUGGGGCUAUGGGAAGGUUUAAAGUUUUUGGCAUUAGGUUUAAAAUCACUGUCCAAAACCUUUGUAGGAACUCUUUCCCAACCUUUUGGAGUUAGUUAGACCAAAAAAAAAAUGAAAAAUGAAAAAAAAAAGUUUGGGGUGUUCGGGCUUCCUGAAUGUAAUACCCGGGUAUUAGAUUUUAAGGCUAGGGUAAGGUUUAAGUUUUAUGGCGUUAGGGUUAAAAUCACUGUCCAAAACCUUUGUAGGAACUCUUUUCGAACCUUUUGGAGUUACUUAGACCAAAAAAAAAUGAAAAAUGAAAAAAAAAUAUUUGGGGUGUUCAGGCUUCCUGAAAGUAAUACCCCGGUAUUAGGUUAUGGGGCUAUGGUAAGGUUUAAGGUUUUUGGCGUUAGGGUUAAAAUCACUGUCCAAAACCUUUGUAGGAACUCUUUUCCAACCUUUUGGAGUUACUUAGACCAAAAAAUAUGAAAAAGGAAAAAAAAAUAUUAGGGGUUUUCGGGCUUCCUGUGGUAAUACCCGGGUAUUAGAUUUAAAGGCUAUGGUAAGGUUUAAGCUUAAUGGCGUUAGGGUUAAAAUCACUGUCCAAAACCUUUGUAGGAACUCUUUUCCAAACUUUUGGAGUUACUUAGACCAAAAAAAAAAAAUGAAAAAAGAAAAAAAAAUUAUUGGGGGUUUUCGGGCUCCCUGAAAGUAAUACCCGGGUAUUAGGUUUUGGGACUAGGGAAAAGUUUAAGGUUUUUGGCGUUAGGGUUAAAAUCACUGUCCAAAACCUUUGUAGGAACUCUUUUCUAACCUUUUGGAGUUAGUUAGACCAAAAAAAAAAUGAAAAAUGAAAAAAAAAUAUUUGGGGUGUUCAGGCUUCCUAAAAGUAAUACCCCGGUAUUAGGUUUUGGGGCUAUGGUAAGGUUUAAGGUUUUUGGCGUUAGGGUUAAAAUCACUGUCCAAAACCUUUGUAGGAACUCUUUUCCAACCUUUUGGAGUUACUUAGACCAAAAAAUAUGAAAAAGGAAAAAAAAAUAUUUGGGGUGUUCGGGCUUCCUGAAGGUAAUACCCAGGUAUUAGGUUGUGGGGCUAUGGUAAGGUUUAAGGUUUUUGGCAUUAGGGUUAAAAUCACUGUCCAAAACCUUUGUAGGAACUCUUUCCCAACCUUUUGGAGUUAGUUAGACCAAAAAAAAAAAAUGAAAAAUGAAAAAAAAAUAUUUGGGGUGUUCAGGCUUCCUAAAAGUAAUACCCGGGUAUUAGGUUAUGGGGCUAUGGUAAGGUUUAAAGUUUUUGGCAUUAGGGUUAAAAUCACUGUCCAAAACCUUUGUAGGAACUCUUUCCAAACCUUUUGGAGUUAGUUAGACCAAAAAAAAAAAUGAAAAAUGAAAAAAA
This 2670-nucleotide long non-coding RNA is filed under the name Xyrichtys novacula (pearly razorfish). Lineage: Eukaryota; Metazoa; Chordata; Actinopteri; Labriformes; Labridae. The record is from RNAcentral.